AGUGAACGCUGGCGAUAGGCCUAACACAUGCAAGUCGAACGGCAGCACAGUAAGAGCUUGCUCUUACGGGUGGCGAGUGGCGGACGGGUGAGGAAUACAUCGGAAUCUACUUUUUCGUGGGGGAUAACGUAGGGAAACUUACGCUAAUACCGCAUACGACCUACGGGUGAAAGCAGGGGAUCUUCGGACCUUGCGCGAUUGAAUGAGCCGAUGUCGGAUUAGCUAGUUGGCGGGGUAAAGGCCCACCAAGGCGACGAUCCGUAGCUGGUCUGAGAGGAUGAUCAGCCACACUGGAACUGAGACACGGUCCAGACUCCUACGGGAGGCAGCAGUGGGGAAUAUUGGACAAUGGGCGCAAGCCUGAUCCAGCCGUACCGCGUGGGUGAAGAAGGCCUUCGGGUUGUAAAGCCCUUUUAUUGGGAAAGAAAAGCAGCAGGUUAAUACCCCGCUGUUCUGACGGUACCCAAAGAAUAAGCACCGGCUAACUUCGUG
This 492-nucleotide ribosomal RNA is filed under the name uncultured bacterium. Its description in RNAcentral is "partial 16S ribosomal RNA". It matches the Rfam family "Bacterial small subunit ribosomal RNA", at positions 29 to 507 of the family's 1533-position model. The record is from RNAcentral.